This 446-nucleotide ribosomal RNA is filed under the name uncultured bacterium. RNAcentral's name for it is "partial 16S ribosomal RNA". It matches the Rfam family "Bacterial small subunit ribosomal RNA", at positions 338 to 795 of the family's 1533-position model. The record is from RNAcentral.
CCUACGGGUGGCUGCAGUCGAGAAUCUUUCACAAUGGGGGAAACCCUGAUGGUGCGACGCCGCGUGGGGGAAUGAAGGUCUUCGGAUUGUAAACCCCUGUCAUGUGGGAGAAAAUUAAAAAGAUAGUACCACAAGAGGAAGAGACGGCUAACUCGGUGCCAGCCGCCGCGGUACUACAGAGGUCUCAAGCGUUGUUCGGAAUCACUGGGCGUAAAGCGUGCGUAGGCUGUUUCGUAAGUCGUGUGUGAAAGGCUCGGGCUCAAACCGGGGACGGCACAGGAUACGGCGGAACUAGAGUAAAGGAGGGGGAACCGGAAGUCCCGGUGUAGCAGUGAAAUGCGUAGAUAUCGGGAGGAACACUCGUGGCGAAGGCGGGUUCCUGGACAUUAACUGACGCUGAGGCACGAAGGCCAGGGGAGCGAAAGGGAUUAGAUACCCCGGUAGUC